AGCCCAUGAGUUGGGCAUUGAAGUAGGAGUUUCUAAAACCUCAACCACAUUUCAUGGAUGGGUUCAUCUUCCAAUUGCUUAAAACAUUGAAUGUUAUCUCUGAGUUU
Solanum tuberosum (potato) is the source of this 107-nucleotide non-coding RNA. The record is from Rfam. Lineage: Eukaryota; Viridiplantae; Streptophyta; Magnoliopsida; Solanales; Solanaceae.